RNAcentral lists this unclassified non-coding RNA (18 nucleotides) under Mus musculus (house mouse). Its description in RNAcentral is "oocyte_clustered_small_RNA11775". Lineage: Eukaryota; Metazoa; Chordata; Mammalia; Rodentia; Muridae. The record is from RNAcentral.
GGGACGACACGGUGAGGC